Molecule: non-coding RNA, 28 nt
Filed under: Homo sapiens (human)
Lineage: Eukaryota; Metazoa; Chordata; Mammalia; Primates; Hominidae
Source: RNAcentral
UGCAGUUGUCCUGUAAAGCGCGUUCGGC